GGAGGAUUAGCUUCAGCUGGGGAAGCACCUGCCUUACAAGCAGGGGUCGGCGGUUCAUCCCGUCAUCCUCCACCA
This 75-nucleotide transfer RNA is filed under the name Bacillus sp. UFRGS-B20. RNAcentral's name for it is "tRNA-Val". It matches the Rfam family "tRNA". From Rfam's summary of the family: Transfer RNA (tRNA) molecules are approximately 80 nucleotides in length. Lineage: Bacteria; Bacillati; Bacillota; Bacilli; Caryophanales; Bacillaceae. The record is from RNAcentral.